Molecule: ribosomal RNA, 454 nt
Filed under: uncultured bacterium
Lineage: Bacteria
Description: bacterial SSU rRNA
Rfam family: Bacterial small subunit ribosomal RNA
Source: RNAcentral
UACGGGAGGCAGCAGUGGGGAAUAUUGCACAAUGGGCGCAAGCCUGAUGCAGCCAUGCCGCGUGUAUGAAGAAGGCCUUCGGGUUGUAAAGUACUUUUCAGUCGUGAGGAAGGUGUUAAGGUUAAUAACCUUAGCAAUUGACGUUAGCGACAGAAGAAGCACCGGCUAACUCCGUGCCAGCAGCCGCGGUAAUACGGAGGGUGCGAGCGUUAAUCGGAAUUACUGGGCGUAAAGGGCACGCAGGCGGUUAAUUAAGUUGGAUGUGAAAUCCCCGGGCUUAACCUGGGAAUGGCAUUCAAGACUGGUUAGCUAGAGUCUUGUAGAGGGGGUAGAAUUCCAUGUGUAGCGGUGAAAUGCGUAGAGAUGUGGAGGAAUACCGGUGGCGAAGGCGGCCCCUGGACAAAGACUGACGCUCAUGUGCGAAAGCGUGGGGAGCAAACAGGGAUUAGAUACC